This 468-nucleotide ribosomal RNA is filed under the name uncultured bacterium. RNAcentral's name for it is "bacterial SSU rRNA". It matches the Rfam family "Bacterial small subunit ribosomal RNA", at positions 329 to 794 of the family's 1533-position model. The record is from RNAcentral.
GUCCAGACUCCUACGGGAGGCAGCAGUGAGGAAUAUUGGUCAAUGGCCGAGAGGCUGAACCAGCCAAGUCGCGUGAGGGAAGACGGCCCUACGGGUUGUAAACCUCUUUUGUCGGGGAGCAAAGUGCCGCACGUGUGCGGUUUGGAGAGUGCCCGGAGAAAAAGCACCGGCUAACUACGUGCCAGCAGCCGCGGUAAUACGUAGGGUGCGAGCGUUAAUCGGAAUUACUGGGCGUAAAGGGUGUGCAGGCGGCUGAGUAAGACAGAUGUGAAAUCCCCGGGCUUAACCUGGGAACCGCAUAUGUGACUGCUUGGCUAGAGUGCGUCAGAGGGAGGUGGAAUUCCACGUGUAGCAGUGAAAUGCGUAGAUAUGUGGAAGAACACCGAUGGCGAAGGCAGCCUCCUGGGACGCAACUGACGCUCAUACACGAAAGCGUGGGGAGCAAACAGGAUUAGAUACCCCCGUAGA